AACUUUCCCUCUUAUACAAAAUCUCGCACAACUCACAAAGUAAAUAAAAACUCUCACUUCAAGACCAUCUAGAAGCUAAAGGAGAGCUGAAUCCAAUAAUUGGGAGGUGGUUCGACCGCAGCUCAUGUUCUUUCUGUUUACGACCUAUGGAGGGAAAUUGUCAGUGGUAAGAAAAAUGACAAGGUUUACUGGUUAGUGUCUCAGGUGCCAAUCUAUAAUGCUCGUCUCUCGAGCUCAUCUAGUGCAUCGACUUCUACUGGAUUGAAAGUGGAGCUUCAUAAGCAUGUUGCUACUAAGGGAUUAAAAGAGCCAGCUCAAGAUGAUGUUGAUGGGGAUGAUGAUGAUAAGAAGAUGGAGGAGAAUGAGUGGGGAGUUUUUUUUUGUU
Long non-coding RNA from Phalaenopsis equestris, 385 nucleotides. RefSeq lists it as uncharacterized. The transcript has 2 exons. The record is from RefSeq and is a predicted model, not a curated record. NCBI's taxonomy places the organism in Eukaryota, Viridiplantae, Streptophyta, Magnoliopsida, Asparagales, Orchidaceae.